AUCGCGUUCCGACCCGGGGAAUACCCUCGGGCAGAUGACGCCAGCCAUCUGGGCCGUGGCGCGUGCCGCCCUGGGCGAUAUUUAAGACCGCCGAGCCCCCCUCCGCUCAGCACUGUUCUCAGUCGCGGACCAAAGUGCACCACUGGCGGUCGUCACGUCACAACCGCGCCCAAAACGACAAUGCCCAGCGGACAGAAGAUGGGUCAGAAGGCCAUCGACAACCGGGCCAACCAGCUGAACCCCAACCAUCCGAGCUACCAGGGCGGCACAAACCGGCACAACGCCUCCUUCGACCAGAUGGCCAGGGCGGCCGUCAACAACCGCGCCAACCAGCUCAACCCCAACAACCCGCGCUACCAGGGCAAAAAGAAGUGAGCUCCUUCUGCCGACUCGGGAGUCUGCACAGCUUCCCAGAGUUUCAGCCAAGAGAAAUCGAGGGAUCCAUCGGGGGUACUCGCGGAUCCUACAUAUCAAGACCAGAGCGCAAGCGAUCGCUUUUAUAGGUAACGACAAGCGGACAGCAGAUAUAAUAGUAUCUGUCACACGAGACAAUCUGAUCGUUAAACUGUGUCAAUGAAGCUGACGCUGAGUAUUCGUACAUGUAGUGCGUGCACAUCAGGAACGGUAAAUGUAUCUAAUCUACUGACUCUUCAUGACUACAUACACAUUUAACACAUCCAUACGGAAUGGUGACUCGUGUGUUCUUUCACUGUAUGUAAAGCAUGGCUAUGGAUACAGAAUAAAGACGCUUUUAAUUUCA
Molecule: long non-coding RNA, 760 nt
Organism: Amphibalanus amphitrite
Lineage: Eukaryota; Metazoa; Arthropoda; Thecostraca; Balanomorpha; Balanidae
Exons: 2
Source: RefSeq, a predicted model, not a curated record